GCCAUUCUAUCGUUUAUCAGAUUGUCCCUCCAUGGGCUCUUCUCCAAAGCAUACGUUUAUUUGGCUUGCGUAUCGAGGACUUCCCCGUUCUGACAUUCAACAUCCCUCUCCAGUCCCUGGAAAAGGAAGUACAAAGAAAGAAGCAUGGGCAAAAUUAAAAGCAUUGAAUAUUUCCGUGUACUCCCUCGCUGGCUGUUCGUGAAAGUUACUGACGAAGAUGGAAAUCAUGGGUGGGGUGAAAGCACUCUGGAGGGUCAUUCAGAAGCUGUUGAAGGAGCAUUGAAUGCGCUAUGUCAACGGUUUCAAGGCUAUGAAGCCGAUGAUAUCGAGCAAAUAUGGCAAACAGCUUGGCGACUUGGUUUCUACAGGGGCGGUGCUGUUUUCAUGUCAGCUAUUUCCGGUAUUGACAUUGCGCUUUGGGAUCUCAAGGGCCGCCGGUUAGGUGCACCCAUCCAUCAACUGUUGGGAGGCAAGGUUCGCAACAAGGUCUCUGUCUAUGCUUGGAUUGGAGGUGACCGCCCUGCAGAUGUUGAGUCAGCUGGCAAAGCGCGGCUGGAUCAAGGGUUCAGAGUCAUAAAAAUGAAUGCCACAGAGGAUGUGAACUGGCUUGAUUCUCCCCGAGUCCUGGAGUCCAGCGUCGAGCGCCUCAAAGCCGUAAAAGAUCUAGGGCUCGAUGCCGCUCUUGACUUCCAUGGCCGUCUCCAUAAACCAAUGGCCAAACAGCUUGCUAAGCUAGUGGAGCCUUACCAGCCCCUAUUCAUUGAGGAACCCCUCCUCUCGGAGCACCCUGAGGGAAUAAAACACUUUUCUAACCA
This 815-nucleotide small RNA is filed under the name Histoplasma capsulatum var. duboisii H88. RNAcentral's name for it is "Histoplasma capsulatum H88 hypothetical RNA". Lineage: Eukaryota; Fungi; Ascomycota; Eurotiomycetes; Onygenales; Ajellomycetaceae. The record is from RNAcentral.